Molecule: ribosomal RNA, 434 nt
Filed under: uncultured Lachnospiraceae bacterium
Lineage: Bacteria; Bacillati; Bacillota; Clostridia; Lachnospirales; Lachnospiraceae
Description: partial 16S ribosomal RNA
Rfam family: Bacterial small subunit ribosomal RNA
Source: RNAcentral
ACGGAAGGCAGCAGUGGGGAAUAUUGCACAAUGGGCGAAAGCCUGAUGCAGCGACGCCGCGUGAGUGAAGAAGUAUCUCGGUAUGUAAAGCUCUAUCAGCAGGGAAGAAAAUGACGGUACCUGACUAAGAAGCCCCGGCUAACUACGUGCCAGCAGCCGCGGUAAUACGUAGGGGGCAAGCGUUAUCCGGAUUUACUGGGUGUAAAGGGAGCGUAGACGGUUUGGCAAGUCUGAAGUGAAAUGCGGGGGCUCAACUCCUGAACUGCUUUGGAAACUGUCGAACUAGAGUGCAGGAGAGGUAAGUGGAAUUCCUAGUGUAGCGGUGGAAUGCGUAGAUAUUAGGAGGAACACCAGUGGCGAAGGCGGCUUACUGGACUGUAACUGACGUUGAGGCUCGAAAGCGUGGGGAGCAAACAGGAUUAGAUACCCUGGUA